AACGAACGCUGGCGGCAUGCCUAACACAUGCAAGUCGAACGAAGCCUUCGGGCUUAGUGGCGCACGGGUGCGUAACGCGUGGGAAUCUGCCCUUGGGUUCGGAAUAACAGUUAGAAAUGACUGCUAAUACCGAAUGAUGUCUUCGGACCAAAGAUUUAUCGCCCAAGGAUGAGCCCGCGUCGGAUUAGCUAGUUGGUGAGGUAAAGGCUCACCAAGGCGACGAUCCGUAGCUGGUCUGAGAGGAUGAUCAGCCACACUGGGACUGAGACACGGCCCAGACUCCUACGGGAGGCAGCAGUGGGGAAUAUUGGACAAUGGGGGCAACCCUGAUCCAGCAAUGCCGCGUGAGUGAUGAAGGCCUUAGGGUUGUAAAGCUCUUUUGCCAGGGAGAUGAUGACUGUACCUGGAGAAUAAGCCCCGGCUAACUUCGUGCCAGCAGCCGCGGUAAU
RNAcentral lists this ribosomal RNA (449 nucleotides) under uncultured bacterium. Its description in RNAcentral is "bacterial SSU rRNA". It matches the Rfam family "Bacterial small subunit ribosomal RNA", at positions 29 to 524 of the family's 1533-position model. The record is from RNAcentral.